This 540-nucleotide ribosomal RNA is filed under the name uncultured bacterium. Its description in RNAcentral is "bacterial SSU rRNA". It matches the Rfam family "Bacterial small subunit ribosomal RNA", at positions 970 to 1509 of the family's 1533-position model. The record is from RNAcentral.
UUAACCUGGCCUUGACAUACUAAGAACUUUCCAGAGAUGGAUUGGUGCCUUCGGAACUUAGAUACAGGUGCUGCAUGGCUGUCGUCAGCUCGUGUCGUGAGAUGUUGGGUUAAGUCCCGCAACGAGCCGCAACCCUUUUCCUUAUUUGCCAGCGGGUUAAGCCGGGAACUUUAAGGAUACUGCCAGUGACAAACUGGAGGAAGGCGGGGACGACGUCAAGUCAUCAUGGCCCUUACGGCCAGGGCUACACACGUGCUACAAUGGUCGGUACAAAGGGUUGCUACCUCGCGAGAGGAUGCUAAUCUCAAAAAGCCGAUCGUAGUCCGGAUCGCAGUCUGCAACUCGACUGCGUGAAGUCGGAAUCGCUAGUAAUCGCGGAUCAGAAUGCCGCGGUGAAUACGUUCCCGGGCCUUGUACACACCGCCCGUCACACCAUGGGAGUUUGUUGCACCAGAAGUAGGUAGUCUAACCGCAAGGAGGACGCUUACCACGGUGUGGCCGAUGACUGGGGUGAAGUCGUAACAAGGUAGGCGUAGAUGA